This 402-nucleotide ribosomal RNA is filed under the name uncultured prokaryote. RNAcentral's name for it is "bacterial SSU rRNA". It matches the Rfam family "Bacterial small subunit ribosomal RNA", at positions 355 to 774 of the family's 1533-position model. The record is from RNAcentral.
UGGGGAAUAUUGGACAAUGGGCGCAAGCCUGAUCCAGCCAUGCCGCGUGAGUGAUGAAGGCCCUAGGGUUGUAAAGCUCUUUUGGCGGGGAAGAUAAUGACGGUACCCGCAGAAUAAGCCCCGGCUAACUUCGUGCCAGCAGCCGCGGUAAUACGAAGGGGGCUAGCGUUGCUCGGAAUCACUGGGCGUAAAGCGCACGUAGGCGGAUUCUUAAGUCAGAGGUGAAAGCCUGGGGCUCAACGCCAGAACUGCCUUUGAUACUGGGAGUCUCGAGUUCGGGAGGGGUGAGUGAAACUGCGAGUGUAGGGGUGAAAUUCGUAGAUAUUCGCAAGAACACCAGUGGCGAAGGCGGCUCACUGGCCCGAUACUGACGCUGAGGUGCGAAAGCGUGGGGAGCAAACA